AUGCAUUCAAAGAGUGCGUAACAGCUCACUGGUCGAGUGGACAUGCGCCGACAAUACACGGGGCUAAGCUGGACACCGAAGCGGCGGGAUUUUACCUAAGUAGAAUCGGUAGGGGAGCUUCCCAUGGGCGGUGAAGCCGCCGGGCGACCGGCGGUGGAGCGCAUGGGAGUGAGAAUGCUGGCAUGAGUAGCGAGAGACGAGAGAGUAACUCGUCCGCCGUGAACCCGAGGUUUCCUGGGCAAGGCUAAUCCUCCCAGGGUCAGUCGGGGGCUAAGGCGAGGCCGGGAGGCGUAGCCGACGCGCAGCAGGCAGACAUUCCUGCACCGCGCACGCGGCGCUACGACCGACGGGGCGACGGAUGGGGGUGGCUCGGCGGGGUUCUGGACGUCCCCGUGAUGGAGCGCGGCCCGCGGACCAGGGAAAUCCGGUCCGCACGAGGGCGAGGCUCCGGACGAAGCGAUCAAGCGAAGCGAGUGAGCCCGAGGUCCCUAGAAAAACCCCUAGGCAGGCGCGUGCGCGCCCGUACCGCAAACCGACACAGGUGGGUGGGUAGAACAUACCGAGGCGAUCGGGUCAACCAUGGUCAAGGAACUCGGCACAAUGGCCCCGUAACUUCGGGAGAAGGGGUGCCCGCGCGUACGUGAACGGACUUGCUCCGGGAGCGGAGGCGGGCCGCAGUGGAGAGGCCCAAGCGACUGUUUACCAAAAACACAGGACUCUGCAGAAGCCGCAAGGCGACGUAUAGGGUCUGACGCCUGCCCGGUGCCGGAAGGUCACGCGGAGGAGUUAGCGCAUCGCGCGAAGCCCCGAAGCCAAGCCCCGGUAAACGGCGGCCGUAACUAUAACGGUCCUAAGGUAGCGAAAUUCCUUGUCGGGUAAGUUCCGACCUGCACGAAAGGCGCAACGACUUGGGCGCUGUCUCGACCAUGGACCCGGUGAAAUUGCACUGGUCGUGAAGAUGCGACUUACCCGCGGAAGGACGGAAAGACCCCGUGAACCUUCACUGCAGCUUGGCAUUGGCCGCUGGUCCCGCGUGUAGAGGAUAGGCAGGAGGCACAGAUCCGGAGGCGCCAGCCCCCGGGGAGCCGCCCUUGGAAUACUGCCCUCGCGCGACCGGCGUCCUAACCCGAGGCCGUCGACCGGCUCGGGGACCGUGCCAGGCGGGCAGUUUGACUGGGGCGGUCGCCUCCUAAAGGGUAACGGAGGCGCGCGAAGGUCCGCUCGGGACGGUCGGCAACCGUCCUUUUGAAUGCAAGAGUACAAGCGGGCUUGACUGCGAGGCCCACAAGCCGAGCAGGUGCGAAAGCAGGCUCUAGUGAUCCGGCGGCCCCGAGUGGGUGGGCCGUCGCUCAACGGAUAAAAGGUACUCCGGGGAUAACAGGCUGAUCUUGCCCAAGAGUCCACAUCGACGGCAAGGUUUGGCACCUCGAUGUCGGCUCAUCGCAUCCUGGGGCUGGAGCAGGUCCCAAGGGUACGGCUGUUCGCCGUUUAAAGCGGUACGCGAGCUGGGUUCAGAACGUCGUGAGACAGUUCGGUCCCUAUCCUCCGUGGGCGCAGGAGAAUCGAUGGAGGCUGCCCCCAGUACGAGAGGACCGGGGUGGACGCACCUCCGGUGAACCGGUUGUCGACCAACGGCACGGCCGGGUAGCCGCGUGCGGCGCGGAUAACCGCUGAAGGCAUCUAAGCGGGAAGCCGUUCCAGGGAUUAGUUCUCCUUCCGGUAAGGGCCCAGGUAGACUACCUGGUCGAUAGACGGCAGGUGCAAGGACGGCGACGUCCUCAGCCGAGCCGCACUAAUCGCCCGAGCUCUUCCGGA
Molecule: ribosomal RNA, 1815 nt
Filed under: human gut metagenome
Description: bacterial LSU rRNA
Rfam family: Bacterial large subunit ribosomal RNA
Source: RNAcentral